UAAGAAGGUGUCUAAGGAUGUAUGUGGUUU
RNAcentral lists this non-coding RNA (30 nucleotides) under Mus musculus (house mouse). The record is from RNAcentral. Lineage: Eukaryota; Metazoa; Chordata; Mammalia; Rodentia; Muridae.